RNAcentral lists this ribosomal RNA (226 nucleotides) under Escherichia coli. RNAcentral's name for it is "partial 23S ribosomal RNA". It matches the Rfam family "Bacterial large subunit ribosomal RNA", at positions 1661 to 1869 of the family's 2925-position model. Lineage: Bacteria; Pseudomonadati; Pseudomonadota; Gammaproteobacteria; Enterobacterales; Enterobacteriaceae. The record is from RNAcentral.
AGGUGGUCAGGUAGAGAAUACCAAGGCGCUUGAGAGAACUCGGGUGAAGGAACUAGGCAAAAUGGUGCCGUAACUUCGGGAGAAGGCACGCUGAUAUGUAGGUGAAGUCCCUCGCGGAUGGAGCUGAAAUCAGUCGAAGAUACCAGCUGGCUGCAACUGUUUAUUAAAAACACAGCACUGUGCAAACACGAAAGUGGACGUAUACGGUGUGACGCCUGCCCGGUGC